RNAcentral lists this ribosomal RNA (313 nucleotides) under Sarcoptes scabiei. RNAcentral describes it as "partial 16S ribosomal RNA". Lineage: Eukaryota; Metazoa; Arthropoda; Arachnida; Sarcoptiformes; Sarcoptidae. The record is from RNAcentral.
UAUCCAACAUCGAGGUCUUAAACUUUUAUUUUAAUAAGUUCUCUUAAAAAAUAUAAAGCUGUUAUCCCUAGAGUAUUUAGUCAAUUUUUCUUUAUAAAAAGUUCUUUUAUAAAUUUUUUUAUUUUUAUUUUAUUAAUUUUAUUUCCCCAACUAAAUGAAAAUUUUCAUUAAAAUUCUAGGGUCUUUUUGUCUUGGAAUAAACAUUGUUAUUUUCAACAAUUUUAUAAUUUAUAUUUUUUAUAAAAUAAAUUUUUAGUUAGUCCCUUCAUACAAGUUACCAAUUAAGUAGCUAAUGAUUUCGCUACCUUAGUGU